Molecule: ribosomal RNA, 468 nt
Filed under: uncultured bacterium
Lineage: Bacteria
Description: partial 16S ribosomal RNA
Rfam family: Bacterial small subunit ribosomal RNA
Source: RNAcentral
GACGAACGCUGGCGGCGUGCUUAACACAUGCAAGUCGAACGGAAAGGCCCUGCUUUUGUGGGGUGCUCGAGUGGCGAAAGGGUGAGUAACACGUGAGUAACCUGCCCUUGACUUUGGGAUAACUUCAGGAAACUGGGGCUAAUACCGGAUAGGAGCUCCUGCUGCAUGGUGGGGGUUGGAAAGUUUCGGCGGUUGGGGAUGGACUCGCGGCUUAUCAGCUUGUUGGUGGGGUAGUGGCUUACCAAGGCUUUGACGGGUAGCCGGCCUGAGAGGGUGACCGGCCACGUUGGGACUGAGAUACGGCCCAGACUCCUACGGGAGGCAGCAGUGGGGAAUAUUGCACAAUGGGCGGAAGCCUGAUGCAGCAACGCCGCGUGCGGGAUGACGGCCUUCGGGUUGUAAACCGCUUUCGCCUGUGACGAAGCGUGAGUGACGGUAAUGGGUAAAGAAGCACCGGCUAACUACGUG